CAGUUGAAGCACGCUGGGCUCUGGUAGGCCGGACGUAGCUCCAGAGACAAAGCUUCUAGCUGCUCCCUCUGCUUUGGGGGUCCUGGGAUUGGGCAGUACCUGGAGCAGGGCGUUCCUGACAUAAGACAGGUGGAGAGACGCAACAACACCCGCACCACCCCAAAGGCCCUGUGGAUACUUCACGAGAGUUGAAGGCACAGGCCACCAUAGUGAACCCUGAGGAUGAGGUAUUGGAAGAGGAGGCAGCGAGCCUGGUGCAGGGGAAGGAACCUCUGCUGCAGGUGCGGUCUUGAGGGUCUCUCCAUCCACACCAGUGGAGUGGCUUAGUUAGGUAAGGAGGAGACAGAAGAGGACAAAGGAAGACAUGUCCCAGGAGAUCCUGCAAGCCUCUGGUGCUUUGGAUACCAAGCAGAGGGCUUGGAGGAUGACACUUGAGGACAGAAUGGACAGGGAUAGUGAGGACAGGAGAAAUGGACAGCAAGAGAUGAUAGUGCUUCUCAGGGAGCAAACAGACAUGCUGUGGUCUCUGACUGACCUACAAGCUCAACAGAUCUAUGCUCACCUCCCCCUGCAGCCAAUAGAGAACUGCAUUCUGGUACAUCUCUAAAUGCCCUCCCCCCCAAUCCACAUGGUGUCCGGGGCCUGUGCAAUACCCCUACCACUCCACCUGGGGGAGAGUGUUGUGAAGGGGAAAGAACGGUCACUUCCAUUUCAAAGGUUCUUGUCCCUAUAUUUAUAAAGUUUUGUUCAGCUUUAAAUAUGUCUAUUUGCAUGGGUUCAGAAUAAAAGUCUAUUUAUGGAAACUUAAUUCAUCUUUAUUAGUUCACAAGAUAUGGUGGCUGGGGUUGGCAUCAUUCACAGAUAAUAGCAAUAGGUGCAUUCACAGUAUUAUAUUACUACACAGAGAGCUCUCAUUACAAGGUUCAAACUGGGGUGCAAACUAAAAAAAAUGCCAGGUGCAGCACACUAGAGCAACACGCAUUUCUGUGGCUCAUUGUUAUAAUGGUCCUUAAGUCUCCCUGAGCUGUAUAGGCCCCCAUUGUGAUCUUCUUAUAGCUCUGGUGUCUGGCUGCUCAAAAUCAGCAGCCAGCCAUUCCGCCCCUGUGGAAACCUCUCCCCCUUUGCUUCACUGAUAUUAUGAAGCACAAAGCAGGCAGCUAUGACCAUGGGAAUAUUUUUUUCACUGAGGUCUAAUCUCGUGAGUAGACAGCAACAGUGGCCUUUCAAAUGGCCAAAGACACAUUCAACUGUCAUUCUGCACCUGCUGAGCCUAUUGUUGAAGCAUUCCUUGUUGCUGUCAGGGUAGCUGGUGUACGGCUUCAUUAACCUUGGGAGCCAAGGGUAGGCUGGAUCUCCCAAGAUCACUGUUGGCAUUUCAGCAUCCCUUUUGGUAAUCCUCUAGUCUGGAAAGAAAGUCCCUGCUUGCAGCUAUUUGUACAGGCCUGUGUUCUUAAAGAUGCAUGUGUCAUGCACCUUCCCUGACCUGCUCACAUUGAUGUAGGUGAAAUGACCCUGGUGAUCCACCAGCACUUGCAAUGCCAUAGAAAAGUAGCUCUUUCUGUUGAUGUACUCCAUGGCAAGGUGGUUUGGUGCCAAAAUAGGGAUAUACGUGCCAUCUGUCACGCCACCGCAGUUAGGGAACCCCAUUGCUGCAAAACCAUCCACUAUUUCUCAAACAUUGCCCAGAGUCACAGUCCUUUUUAGCAGGACACAAUUAAUGGCCCUCCACUCUUGCAUCACCACAACCCCCACGAUGGAUUUUCCAACUCCAAAUUGGUUCCUGACUGAUCAAUAGCAAUCGGGCAUUGUAAGCUUCCACACAGCAAUCGCCACGCGCUUCUCCCCGGUGAGUGCAGAUCUUAAUUCAGUGUCACUGUGCUGGGGGUGUUGGGGGGAGCUCUGCACACAGUUCCAGGAAUAUGGUCUUCUGCAUGUGAAAGCUCUGCAGCUGCUGCUCGUCAUCCCAUACCUGCAUAACGAUGUGAUUCCACCAGUCAGUGCUUGUUUCCACCAUGUGAAUGCUAACAACCAUGAAUUGUUUCUUUCCAUGGCACACAACAGGGCAGCCUGCAAGGAAUCAUAUUAUUCCGUCUCACGACUCUGGAAAUACUGCAGGAUCAGGUGUUUUGUGUUCGUAUCACUCAUCACAAUACUGUGCAGGAUCCACAGUUCUCACAGAGAUGGUGGACAUGUGGGUUUGCAGGGCUUUUGGAAAGUGACAUGAAACUUAAUAGGAUGGCCCUGGAAUGACGGGAUGGAGAAAACUGCAUCAUGGGAUGUUGAACCCAUGUUCCCAGUCUCCCCUGCAUGACUCAUUUGCCCCCAUGAAGCAUUGCAAACACUUUCCAAAACACCCUGCACUACAUGGUGGCGAGUUGUACAGUAGGAUAGCUAUCAUGAUGCACUGCAUUGAUGCAAGUGCUGCACACUGCCAACACAAGGAGCGUAGUGUGUGCAUGCAAAAGCGAUUUAAUUACUGCGGUGGCUGUAUGUUGGCAUAACUUUGGUUUACUUAAUUUUGUAGUGUAGACAUGGCCUAAAUGUUGACAGCCUUGUUGAGCCAUAGGCAGUUGACCUGGCCAUGCUCUGGUAAAUUACAUGGUAACUACAGUGAGACAAGGUGGGAGAUAAUGUCUUUUAUCUUGGACCAACUUCUGUUUGUGGAAGGGCCAAGCUUUUGAGCAUCACAGAACUCUUCCUCAGAUUUAGAGAAGGAAACAAAUGUCCAAGCAAAAUACAAGGUAGCAUAGAUUGUAGAGCAUAACGGGUUUCCAGCCUGUUGUACUUAAUAUGAAUGGGCAAGUAAUCGCUUUACUAUCAUAGGACAAUGGAGGCUUAUUCAGCUCAUUGACAUACUGAGUCAAAUGCUAAUGGUGGGAUGUGAAAUCAACAUGAAAGAAGCACAUAGGAAAAAACAGAACUGGAAAAAACUAAAACUAUGGUUUGCGGGACUGUUUCUACAGGGUGCAGAUGAACUCCGAGUUAUUCCUCAGUCUAUGAGGACAAGCUGCCAACAGGCUUGGUCUUAAUGAGAAGUGAUAUCAACCAAACUGGUUGAAAAUGGAGGGAGGGGGAAGAACUUGGGGUAAAUUUUCUUUUAGGAAACAGAAGAAUGCUUUGUUAGUUAAGUUGAUGCUCUAGAAUCAUCAUGUUCCUAUUACGCCUCUGGCGUUUAGGGCAGUGAUGAAGCUCCUCUACUGUCUGUUUCUGGCAAGGCUUUCAAUGGUGUCCCAGGUUUUUCAGCUCAGCUUCCACAGCUCUUUGCUGUCUUGUUUUCAGACGGCCUUGUUUUUGCUUGCCUUCAGGUGUCCAUCUUAUUGCUACUCUGGUGAUGGAAUCAGUUUCCAUCUGAAGCACAUAACCGAUCCAUCUCCAACACCUCCUGGCAAUGAUGGUGCUCAGAUCCACUUGGCUGCGCUGUAUCAAUAGAUCUUGGGUUUGAGAUUGUUCUGGGCCAAAAGAUACGGAGGAUUUUUCUGAGGCAGGGUGUAUGGAAUGAAGACAGUUUGGACAUGUCAUAUUUUCUCAUUCCCCAGCAUUCUGCACUAUAAAGUAGUGUUGAAAGUACGCAGCUCUGAUAAAUCUUGUUUGGUUUUGUUUUUUGAUGAUUUCCAGACAGUAUUUAAGCUCCUGAAGGUGUUCCUGGCUUUAUUGAUUUUGUUCCAGAUGUCCUGGCUUGUUCCAGCAUCCUGGCUGAUGGUGCUGCCCAAAUAUGUGAAUGUUUCUACAUUAGUGAGAACAUAAUCCUCUAACCAUACUGGUGAUGAGCGAAGAUCUGAUCUGUGCAUCCACGCCCUUUCUGAAAACCAGCUUGCUCUUUUGUGAGAAUGCUAUCAACUGCCUCUGAUAUACGUUGGACUAUGAUCUGACACAGUACUUUGCUUGGCACAUAUAAAAGUGUGAUACCACACCAGUUAUUACAAUCACUGAGAGUUUCUUUCUUUGGCAUCUUCACUAUAAUCCCAUUGGUCCGCUCAUCAAUGGGCACUUUUUCCUGUUCCCAGACUGAUGUAAAUAGAGGGGCCAGAAUAGAUGCUGCUAAUUUAGGAUUUACCUUGAAAGAUUCUGCAUUCAAGUUAUCCUUGCCAAGAGCUU
This is a long non-coding RNA of Chelonia mydas (Green sea turtle), 4095 nucleotides long. RefSeq lists it as uncharacterized. The transcript has 4 exons. Lineage: Eukaryota; Metazoa; Chordata; Testudines; Cheloniidae. The record is from RefSeq and is a predicted model, not a curated record.